AUAGAGCAACAGCUUCUAUGCAGUUUCUUGUUAGCCCCGGUAAUCUUUCUGUACUCGCCAAAGUUAAAGAAGAUUAUCGGGGUUUUUGCUU
This 91-nucleotide antisense RNA is filed under the name Escherichia coli B41. Its description in RNAcentral is "CopA-like RNA". It matches the Rfam family "CopA-like RNA". Rfam says of the family: In several groups of bacterial plasmids, antisense RNAs regulate copy number through inhibition of replication initiator protein synthesis. These RNAs are characterised by a long hairpin structure interrupted by several unpaired residues or bulged loops. Lineage: Bacteria; Pseudomonadati; Pseudomonadota; Gammaproteobacteria; Enterobacterales; Enterobacteriaceae. The record is from RNAcentral.